GCCUUUCGGGGCAUGUGCACGCCUGGCUCAUCCACUCUUCAACCUCUGUGCACUUGUUGUAGGUCGGUCGAAGGGUCACUGUGUGAACGGUGACUUGGAAGCCUUCCUAUGUUUUACUACAAACGCUUCAGUUUAAGAAUGUAAUCUCUGCGUAUAACGCAUUUAUAUACAACUUUCAGCAACGGAUCUCUUGGCUCUCGCAUCGAUGAAGAACGCAGCGAAAUGCGAUAAGUAAUGUGAAUUGCAGAAUUCAGUGAAUCAUCGAAUCUUUGAACGCACCUUGCGCUCCCUGGUAUUCCGGGGAGCAUGCCUGUUUGAGUGUCAUGGUAUUCUCGACCUUCAUAACUUUUUUGUUAUCGAAGGCUUGGACUUGGAGGCUUGUGCUGGCUUACUUGCUUAAGUCGGCUCCUCUUAAAUGUAUUAGCGUGAGUGUAACGGAUCGCUUCGGUGUGAUAAUUAUCUGCGCCGUGGUCGUGAAGUAACAUAAGCUUGCGCUUCUAACCGUCCUUCAGUUGGACAAUACACUUUGACAUCUGACCUCAAAUCAGGUAGGACUACCCGCUGAACUUAAGCAUAUCAAUAAGCGGAGGA
Molecule: ribosomal RNA, 591 nt
Filed under: uncultured fungus
Lineage: Eukaryota; Fungi
Description: eukaryotic LSU rRNA
Rfam family: 5.8S ribosomal RNA (bases 171-324)
Source: RNAcentral